GUUUAUCUACAUGGGUUUGCCUUUCGGCAAACAUCACUUAUUAUUUGCGCUUUUUUGCUUUUGUGCAAAAGCGCUUAAAAAAACUUUUUUCGGAAACUGCAAUGUUCCGCAAAAAGUGUUUUUAGGA
Regulatory RNA element from Treponema pedis str. T A4, 127 nucleotides. It matches the Rfam family "TD-1 RNA". From Rfam's summary of the family: non coding RNA found in Treponema denticola The record is from Rfam. NCBI's taxonomy places the organism in Bacteria, Pseudomonadati, Spirochaetota, Spirochaetia, Treponematales, Treponemataceae.